GUCUUGCUCUGUUGCCAGGCUGGAGUGCAGUGGCGCAAUCUCGGCUCACUGCAACCUCCACCUCCUGGGUUCAAGCGAGUCUCCUGCCUCAGCCUCCUGAGUAUCUGGGACUACAAGCGCCCACCACCAUGCCCAGAUAAUUUUUAGAGACGGAGUUUCACCAUGUUGGCCAGGAUGGUCUCGAUCUCUUGACCUCAUGAUCGCCCACCUCAGCCUGUAUCUUGCCCAUUAUCAAACUAUUUCUUGCUGCCAUAUUCUUUUCUAGUAUUUGACAUCUUGAUUUUCAGAACCUGGUCAAUCUUACCAUAAAAACCUAGCUGCCAUUUCACACCUCUGCUCUGACUGGCUCAAGGCCUGCUCUUCUUUAAUGCCUAUAGCUGGGCAGAAUGAAGCAGGUAUUUAAAUACUGAUCUCUAAAUAUUUUAAUAGAAUGAUGUAUGUGUUCAGCUUAUCUAUUAGUGGGGUAAAUUGUAAUGCGAGAAGAGAAAAUCAAGUUACAAUACCUACAUUGCAGAUUUUCAGUGAGGCUUAAAAGGCAUGAAAAAUUCCCUAAUGUUAGUAAAUACUCAAGAAAUGCUGGUUAAUAUUUCUACUUCUGGUCAAUUGCUUUCCAAGUCGAAACAGCUGAUAAAAUUCUAUACAUUAUACAUUAUGUUAUUCAUAUUAUGAAAAUGUUAAGUCUUUCAUUUCACAAUAUUAUUAGCCAAGAGAAUAAAGGUUUGUAGUGACUUAAAGAUCUUGAAAAGCGACAUACUGUUUUGUUUAAGAGGGAGGAAAAAGUCCACAUAGAAGGUGAUUAAAAAAUACCCACAUUGAUCA
This is a long non-coding RNA of Homo sapiens (human), 819 nucleotides long. The record is from Ensembl. Lineage: Eukaryota; Metazoa; Chordata; Mammalia; Primates; Hominidae.